Molecule: long non-coding RNA, 150 nt
Organism: Etheostoma cragini (Arkansas darter)
Lineage: Eukaryota; Metazoa; Chordata; Actinopteri; Perciformes; Percidae
Exons: 3
Source: RefSeq, a predicted model, not a curated record
AAGCUUAUCCACUUGGAUCCACGUGACGCGUUCGUCCAACCAGCUGCUGGUUUUCACUUUUUGGGCGACAAUACAGAUUAGUGCUGCUUGUUGUUAUGGAGACAUAGUAAGUCUUGCGCAUGCGCAGAACCUCUGCUCGGGUUGACGUCU